CCUACGGGAGGCUGCAGUGAGGAAUAUUGGUCAAUGGACGAGAGUCUGAACCAGCCAAGUCGCGUGAAGGAUGACUGCCCUAUGGGUUGUAAACUUCUUUUAUAAAGGAAUAAAGCGAGGCACGUGUGCCUUUUUGCAUGUACUUUAUGAAUAAGGAUCGGCUACCUCCGUGCCAGCAGCCGCGGUAAUACGGAGGAUCCGAGCGUUAUCCGGAUUUAUUGGGUUUAAAGGGAGCGUAGUUGGGUUGUUAAGUCAGUUGUGAAAGUUUGCGGCUCAACCGUAGAAUUGCAGUUGAUACUGGCAGGCUUGAGUACAGUUGAGGUAGGCGGAAUUCGUGGUGUAGCGGUGAAAUGCUUAGAUAUCACGAAGAACCCCGAUUGCGAAGACAGCUUACUAAACUGUGACUGACGCUGAUGCGCGAAAGUGUGGGGAUCAAACAGGAUUAGAUACCCGAGUAGUC
This 460-nucleotide ribosomal RNA is filed under the name uncultured bacterium. RNAcentral's name for it is "partial 16S ribosomal RNA". It matches the Rfam family "Bacterial small subunit ribosomal RNA", at positions 338 to 795 of the family's 1533-position model. The record is from RNAcentral.